Molecule: ribosomal RNA, 267 nt
Filed under: uncultured bacterium
Lineage: Bacteria
Description: partial 16S ribosomal RNA
Source: RNAcentral
CUGCUGCCUUCCGUAGGAGUUUGGACCGUGUCUCAGUUCCAGUGUGGGGGACCUUCCUCUCAGAACCCCUACGCAUCGUCGCCACGGUGGGCCGUUACCCCGCCGUCUAGCUAAUGCGCCGCAUGCCCAUCCUCUUCCGAUGAAUCUUUCCUCGAUCUCGGAUGCCCGAAACCGAUAUACGCGGGAUUAGCCUCCCUUCGGAAGGUUGUCCCCCUGAAGAGGGCAGGUUGCAUACGUGUUACUCACCCGUGCGCCGGUCGCCGGACG